UAAUACGUAGGGGGCAAGCGUUGUCCGGAAUCAUUGGGCGUAAAGAGCGUGUAGGCGGUCCGUUAAGUCGGCUGUGAAAGUCCAGGGCUCAACCCUGGGAUGCCGGCCGAUACUGGCGGACUAGAGUCCGGAAGAGGUGAGUGGAAUUCCCGGUGUAGCGGUGAAAUGCGCAGAUAUCGGGAGGAACACCAAUGGCGAAGGCAGCUCACUGGGACGGUACUGACGCUGAGACGCGAAAGCGUGGGGAGCAAACAGGAUUAGAUACCCUGGUAGUCCACGCCGUAAACGAUGGACACUAGGUGUGGGGGGUGUCGACUCCCUCCGUGCCGAAGCUAACGCAUUAAGUGUCCCGCCUGGGGAGUACGGCCGCAAGGCUA
This 377-nucleotide ribosomal RNA is filed under the name uncultured bacterium. RNAcentral describes it as "bacterial SSU rRNA". It matches the Rfam family "Bacterial small subunit ribosomal RNA", at positions 521 to 896 of the family's 1533-position model. The record is from RNAcentral.